This is a long non-coding RNA of Pollicipes pollicipes, 561 nucleotides long. RefSeq lists it as uncharacterized. The transcript has 3 exons. The record is from RefSeq and is a predicted model, not a curated record. Lineage: Eukaryota; Metazoa; Arthropoda; Thecostraca; Pollicipedomorpha; Pollicipedidae.
CGGAGCUGCUCGGCGCGCUGGGUCCGCCGACGACGGUGGCGCCACCUCCGCCCGUGCAGCGGAGCCCGCAGAGGGCAGCACCGGCGCCGUGCCCACCGGCUCGCUCCGCCUUCGAUGACCUGGAUGACCUGGUGCGCCUCAGCAUGUCGGGCUCGGCCCCGCCUAACAGCAGGACCAUCAAGACUCCUCCGAUUCCGUCCAGUCCACGCUCCGCCCCUCCUGGAAAAGCAACCAAUCAGAGCGCGGUGCCGUCCACAACCUUUGUCCUCCAGCCAGUCAAGGAUGCCAGUCCGCCGUCACCGACCAAUCAGGGCGCAACGAACGGCUCGGAGCACUCGCUACUGGACUUCGGCUGCGAGCAGUCGGGGGCGGCGCCUAACGGGCAUCAGCCAACCGGCGAACUGCAUGGUGAUGACGUCAGCUUGCUGUCGGCGCUGAGUGGUCCGAGCUCGCACGACUCGCUGCUGUCCGACGGAAGGUCAGAUGAAGGUCAAGUGCGGGCGGCAGGAGAGCCAGCGGCCACUGGGAAGCUGCUGAGCUUGGCGGACGUUACUGUACCGU